UUUUAAAAUCAUGAAAUGCAAAUAAAAUUGUUUACUGAAAACAUAAUUAUUUAUUACUGACCAACUAAACAUAACCUGAAAACAGAUUGGAGGGAUUUAUACAUUAGCUCUGACCCGCUGUAUUUCUAUAAAGCAUUUUCUUAAAAAAUCUGCUUUUGAUUUACAAUCCAGAUGAAGUUUAAAUUAUUUUAUAUUGUAUAUUUAUUAUUGUUUUUUUUUUAUAAAUUGAUGAAUCAUUAUCAAAGAUUACAAUUUAACACUUAAAAAUGAGUGUGUAGUAAAUUCAAGUACUUCCAACCCAUUUAUAGAAUGAUAUUAUGCAAAUUCAGAAUCAUUCUCAUACCCGUUAAUUUUUUUUCAAAAUCAGUACCAAGUCCAGAUGUUCAUCACAUUUUUUUUCAACUGAAACAUGUUUUU
RNAcentral lists this long non-coding RNA (417 nucleotides) under Mytilus galloprovincialis (Mediterranean mussel). Lineage: Eukaryota; Metazoa; Mollusca; Bivalvia; Mytilida; Mytilidae. The record is from RNAcentral.